CCUACGGGAGGCAGCAGUGGGGAAUAUUGCACAAUGGGGGAAACCCUGAUGCAGCGACGCCGCGUGAGUGAAGAAGUAAUUCGUUAUGUAAAGCUCUAUCAGCAGGGAAGAACAUGACGGUACCUGAGUAAGAAGCCCCGGCUAAAUACGUGCCAGCAGCCGCGGUAAUCCGUAGGGGGCAAGCGUUAGCCGGAUUUACUGGGUGGAACGGGAGCGUAGACGGCAGUGCAAGUCUGGGAGUAACGGCGGGGGUUAAACCCCCGGACUGCUCUGGAAACUGUACGGAUGGAGUGCAGGAGAGGUAAGUGGAAUUCCUAGUGUAGCGGUGAAAUGCGUAGAUAUUAGGAGGAACACCAGUGGCGAAGGCGGCUUACUGGACUGUAACUGACGUUGAGGCUCGAAAGCGUGGGGAGCAAACAGGAUUAGAUACCCCAGUAGUC
Molecule: ribosomal RNA, 440 nt
Filed under: uncultured bacterium
Lineage: Bacteria
Description: partial 16S ribosomal RNA
Rfam family: Bacterial small subunit ribosomal RNA
Source: RNAcentral